GACAUCAGAAAGACAAAGGGAAAUGAAUAUUCUCAGAACUCCAUCCUGCCACAUUUGUUUUUGAGAACUUUCCAUUCUGAUGUAUCUCAAGUCAUUGGGAGAGUUGCAAGGAGGAGUGAUAUAAGCCCAAGGAAAUCCUGCUUCCAGGAGGAAGUCAUUAGACAGAAAAUUUAAAAAAAGAAAAUCAUCUGAGCAGGGGCACAGAAAUAAUCAAAUUACCUCAUUAAAGACCUUGGAGACAACGUGCUUAUUCAGGAUGGGAACGUAGGUGGCGUUUCGGGGCACUACGGUCCCAGUCAAGGCAUCCAUGAUGGUGAGCUUCUUGGCCACCAGGCCAUGGGUUUGGAGCCACUUUUCAGAAGACAUGUCUGUGGAGCUAAGGACACAAGACUGUAGGGUUUGAAACCUGCGACUUGGCUGUUUGGAAACAAAGCAGAGCAAACCGUCCUCCUUAGAUGCAAGCACUCACGUGUGGUCAUUAACUUGGCUUCGGUGGUCAUUAACUUGGCUUCGGUUUUCGGUGAGUCCCUCUGACAAUUUGUCAUGUAGGCACUUAUUCAUCAGCAGGAUGCUC
Long non-coding RNA from Peromyscus eremicus (cactus mouse), 574 nucleotides. RefSeq lists it as uncharacterized. The transcript is spliced from 3 exons. The record is from RefSeq and is a predicted model, not a curated record. Lineage: Eukaryota; Metazoa; Chordata; Mammalia; Rodentia; Cricetidae.